GAUGAAGAACGUAGCGAAAUGCGAUACGUAAUGUGAAUUGCAGAAUUCAGUGAAUCAUCGAAUCUUUGAACGCAUAUUGCGCUCUCUGGUAUUCCGGAGAGCAUGCUUGUUUGAGUAUCAGUAAACACCUCAACUCCCCUUUCUUUUUUUGAAAUGGGAGCUGGACUUGAGUGAUCCCAACGCUUUUCUCACCGAAAAGUGGCGGGUUACUUGAAAUGCAGGUGCAGCUGGACUUUUCUCUGAGCUAAAAGCAUAUCUAUUUAGUCUGCCUAAAAAACAGAUUAUUACCUUUGCUGCAGCUAACAUAAAGGAGAUUAGUUCUUGUGCUGACUGAUGCAGGAUUCACAGAGACAGCUUAGGCUGGCCUUUGUAAACUCGAUCUCAAAUCAAGUAAGACUACCCGCUGAACUUAAGCAUAUCAAUAAGCGGAGGA
Molecule: unclassified non-coding RNA, 433 nt
Filed under: soil metagenome
Description: partial contains 5.8S ribosomal RNA, internal transcribed spacer 2, and large subunit ribosomal RNA
Rfam family: 5.8S ribosomal RNA (bases 1-120)
Source: RNAcentral